RNAcentral lists this ribosomal RNA (253 nucleotides) under uncultured bacterium. RNAcentral's name for it is "partial 16S ribosomal RNA". It matches the Rfam family "Bacterial small subunit ribosomal RNA", at positions 524 to 776 of the family's 1533-position model. The record is from RNAcentral.
UACGUAGGGUCCGAGCGUUGUCCGGAGUUACUGGGCGUAAAGCGCACGUAGGCGGCUUGGCAAGUCGGAUGUGAAAUCCCUCGGCUCAACCAAGGAAGUGCAUCCGAAACUGCUGAGCUUGAGUACGAAAGAGGAUCGCGGAAUUCCCGGUGUAGAGGUGAAAUUCGUAGAUAUCGGGAGGAACACCAGUGGCGAAGGCGGCGAUCUGGGUCGAUACUGACGCUGAGGUGCGAAAGCGUGGGGAGCAAACAGG